GACGAACGCUGGCGGUGUGCUUAACACAUGCAAGUCGAACGGUAAGGCCCUUUCGGGGGUACACGAGUGGCGAACGGGUGAGUAACACGUGAGUAACCUGCCCUCAUCUCUGGGAUAACAGUCGGAAACGGUUGCUAAUACUGGAUAUGAGCCUGCAAGGCAUCUUGUGGGUUGGAAAGAUUUUUUGGUUGGGGAUGGACUCGCGGCCUAUCAGCUUGUUGGUGAGGUAGUGGCUCACCAAGGCUUCGACGGGUAGCCGGCCUGAGAGGGCGACCGGCCACAUUGGGACUGAGAUACGGCCAAAACUCCUACGGGAGGCAGCAGUGGGGAAUAUUGCACAAUGGACGGAAGUCUGAUGCAGCAACGCCGCGUGCGGGAUGACGGCCUUCGGGUUGUAAACCGCUUUCAAUUGUGACGAAGCUUUUUGGACGGAGCAGAGAAGAGCACCG
RNAcentral lists this ribosomal RNA (449 nucleotides) under Arachnia propionica. RNAcentral's name for it is "bacterial SSU rRNA". It matches the Rfam family "Bacterial small subunit ribosomal RNA", at positions 28 to 475 of the family's 1533-position model. The record is from RNAcentral. Lineage: Bacteria; Bacillati; Actinomycetota; Actinomycetes; Propionibacteriales; Propionibacteriaceae.